Molecule: ribosomal RNA, 518 nt
Filed under: uncultured bacterium
Lineage: Bacteria
Description: bacterial SSU rRNA
Rfam family: Bacterial small subunit ribosomal RNA
Source: RNAcentral
AGAACUUAGCAGAGAUGGCUUUGGUGCCUUCGGGAACUCUGAGACAGGUGCUGCAUGGCUGUCGUCAGCUCGUGUUGUGAAAUGUUGGGUUAAGUCCCGCAACGAGCGCAACCCUUAUCCUUUGUUGCCAGCGGUUAGGCCGGGAACUCAAAGGAGACUGCCAGUGAUAAACUGGAGGAAGGUGGGGAUGACGUCAAGUCAUCAUGGCCCUUACGAGUAGGGCUACACACGUGCUACAAUGGCGCAUACAAAGAGAAGCGACCUCGCGAGAGCAAGCGGACCUCAUAAAGUGCGUCGUAGUCCGGAUUGGAGUCUGCAACUCGACUCCAUGAAGUCGGAAUCGCUAGUAAUCGUGGAUCAGAAUGCCACGGUGAAUACGUUCCCGGGCCUUGUACACACCGCCCGUCACACCAUGGGAGUGGGUUGCAAAAGAAGUAGGUAGCUUAACCUUCGGGAGGGCGCUUACCACUUUGUGAUUCAUGACUGGGGUGAAGUCGUAACAAGGUAAGCGUAGUGCU